AACAAAACAAACCAAACCAUCACAACGCUAUACAUUAUUUUUACUUAGGUAGGAAAUAAUUCAAAAUGUUGGUCCGUCCAGGGACAUUAUUCCUCAAUGCAGUGAUUCGCAAGAACCUGCAAGCCCCGAAGGUAUGGCAUCAUUCUACACCUCAGGCUGGAGAUAGUCUGCCAUUCUGCAAGUCCAUUGGGAGACCAGGAAAAAUGACUUUAUUAUUUAUCCUGUUUCUGGGUUCGGGAUGGUGGACUCCAUGUAUAGCCUACAUGUAUAUGAUGUAUAAAUAAAUAAAUUUUCCAUUUCUUUUGAUCUUCCGCACGUUAAGGCUUAAAUUAAGAAGUUUUGAUCCAUUUCAAGGAAAAGUAGUACGUACUUAUUAGUU
Molecule: long non-coding RNA, 379 nt
Organism: Aethina tumida (small hive beetle)
Lineage: Eukaryota; Metazoa; Arthropoda; Insecta; Coleoptera; Nitidulidae
Exons: 3
Source: RefSeq, a predicted model, not a curated record